AUUGAACGCUAACGGCGUGCUUAACACAUGCAAGUCGAGCGGCAGCACAGUAGUAGCAAUACUAUGGGUGGCGAGCGGCGGACGGGUGAGUAAUACAUAGGAAUCUGCCUUAUAGUGGGGGAUAACCCGGGGAAACUCGGGCUAAUACCGCAUAAUCUCUACGGAGAAAAGUAUGGGACCUUCGGGCACUAUGCUAUAAGAUGAGCCUAUGUUGGAUUAGCUAGUUGGUAGGGUAAAGGCCUACCAAGGCAACGAUCCAUAGCUGGUCUGAGAGGAUGAUCAGCCACACUGGGACGGAGACACGGCCCAGACUCCUACGGGAGGCAGCAGUGGGGAAUAUUGGACAAUGGGCGCAAGCCUGAUCCAGCAACGCCGUGUGUGUGAAGAAGGCCUUAGGGUUGUAAAGCACUUUUAGUGGGGAAGAAAAGUUCAUGGCUAAUAUCCAUGAAUGCUGACGUUACCCACAGAAAAAGCACUGGCUAACUCUGUGCCAGCCGCCGCAGUAA
RNAcentral lists this ribosomal RNA (506 nucleotides) under uncultured bacterium. Its description in RNAcentral is "partial 16S ribosomal RNA". It matches the Rfam family "Bacterial small subunit ribosomal RNA", at positions 30 to 523 of the family's 1533-position model. The record is from RNAcentral.